GUUGCGCUGCGUAGAACACUAGGCGUCUUUUAAUUGCGGCCGUCUUUUGUCUUUGCUAUUGUGCUUGCUAUGUCUGGAUAUGCAGCCACAAUCUUCAGUGCUCUUACAAUCGAGAAACAUCAUAUUUUUUGCCAAUGUGCCUGUGUGCAUAUGCCCAUACACAUAUAAAAUUUGUUUUUGUUUUGCAAAUGGGAACCGUAAAUGCAAAUUUGCUAAAUGUAAUCUCCGUAUAAAGUUUGAAAAGUGCACUUUAACGCUAGAAAUUGGUAUUCUACUAUAAAAGGAUUCUAUUUAUGGCUUGAAUUGAAUGCAAAUAUACGGAUGCAUUGGCUUCAAAUUACUACAACGUGUCGUAUGAUGAUGUUUCAUAAGCUGACACAUUGAAGACAAAUUUUUGUUAUAUUAAACCUAUGCAAAUAUUAUAUUACGAAUAUGUAAUUAGUUUAUUAUACAAUACAACAAAGCUUUGGAGAGCCAACAUUAAAAGAAAAACUUUUGAAAACAGAAAACAAGAAUGAGAAACAAUGUAAAGCAAAUAUCCAUACAUAAAAUUCGCUUUUAUUCCGAUAUCUGGCCACUUAAAAAGAUUCGUUCAAAAAUGGAAAGCUAAAUGAAUCAUGAAAGAAAAAAACAAAUUAUAUUCAGUGUUG
This is a long non-coding RNA of Glossina fuscipes, 650 nucleotides long. RefSeq lists it as uncharacterized. The record is from RefSeq and is a predicted model, not a curated record. Lineage: Eukaryota; Metazoa; Arthropoda; Insecta; Diptera; Glossinidae. The transcript has 3 exons.